CGCAGUCGGCUCCUGGGGAGACUGGGACUGGAAGUACGGUCACCGGGUUGAGCUGGUGAGGCUGACAGUCGGCUCGCGAGGAGACUAGGACUGGCGGGCGGUCACCGGGUUUCAACGAGGUUGGGGGUUUGCUCCGGGGAGGCUUUGUAAUCGCUGGGAUUGAUUGAUUUGAGAGAGAGAGCUUUUCUGUAUUGUCUUUAGCCUCUAUAUAUAGGCUACUGCAGAUUCAUUGUCCAAAUAGGAAUGAAAUACUAUAUUUUAGGCCACAAAUCCUAGACGUGAUCGCUGGAUGCCAACAGUAGGAUACGCACGUAUUAAUUGCAAAUAUAUCUUCACGCCCUUCUGAGCGCUCAAAUCUUCAUGCAAUUAAUGAUGAUAUCUCCUUAUGAGACACGGGAUAAGCAGCAUCACGACCCAAGUCCAUGUAAUCCCAUUUUGGGCCGCAAGUAUCGGCC
RNAcentral lists this long non-coding RNA (455 nucleotides) under Rosa chinensis. RNAcentral describes it as "sRNA RchiOBHm_Chr5g0067901". The record is from RNAcentral. Lineage: Eukaryota; Viridiplantae; Streptophyta; Magnoliopsida; Rosales; Rosaceae.